This 465-nucleotide ribosomal RNA is filed under the name uncultured bacterium. Its description in RNAcentral is "partial 16S ribosomal RNA". It matches the Rfam family "Bacterial small subunit ribosomal RNA", at positions 28 to 507 of the family's 1533-position model. The record is from RNAcentral.
GACGAACGCUGGCGGCGUGCUUAACACAUGCAAGUCGAACGGAAAGGCCCCCUUGUGGGGUACUCGAGUGGCGAACGGGUGAGUAACACGUGAGUAACCUACCCUUGACUUUGGGAUAACUUCAGGAAACUGGGGCUAAUACCGGAUAGGAGCUUCUGCUGCAUGAUGGGGGUUGGAAAGUUUCGGCGGUUGGGGAUGGACUCGCGGCUUAUCAGCUUGUUGGUGGGGUAGUGGCUCACCAAGGCUUUGACGGGUAGCCGGCCUGAGAGGGUGACCGGCCACAUUGGGACGGAGAGACGGCCCAGACUCCUACGGGAGGCAGCAGUGGGGAAUAUUGCACAAUGGGCGGAAGCCUGAUGCAGCAACGCCGCGUGCGGGAUGACGGCCUUCGGGUUGUAAACCGCUUUCGCCUGUGACGAAGCGUGAGUGACGGUAAUGGGUAAAGAAGCACCGGCUAACUACGUG